Molecule: ribosomal RNA, 490 nt
Filed under: uncultured bacterium
Lineage: Bacteria
Description: partial 16S ribosomal RNA
Rfam family: Bacterial small subunit ribosomal RNA
Source: RNAcentral
GAUGAACGCUAGCGGCAGGCUUAAUACAUGCAAGUCGAGGGGCAGCACGUUUCGCAGCAAUGCGGGAUGGUGGCGACCGGCAAACGGGUGAGGACCGCGUACACAAUCUUCCCAGAGCAGGGGGAUAACUAGGGGAAACCCGGACUAAUACCCCGUAGUAUACUUUGAUGGCAUCAUUGAGGUAAUAAAACUCCGGUGGCUUUGGUUGAGUGUGAGUGCCAUUAGGUAGUUGGCAGGGUAACGGCGUACCAAGCCUUCGAAGGGUAACUGGUGUGAGAGCACGACCGGUGACACGAGCAGUGAGACACGGGCCCGACGCCUGAGAGAGGCAGCAGUAAGGAAUAUGAGGCAAUGGACGCAAGUCUGAGCCAGCCAGGCCGCGUGAGAGAUGAAGGUCCUCUGGAGGGUAAGCAUCUUUUAUGGGGGGCGAAAAAAGGGUGGUUUGACGCACUUGACGGUACCUGAUGAAUAAGCACCGGCUAACUCCGUG